This 497-nucleotide ribosomal RNA is filed under the name uncultured bacterium. RNAcentral's name for it is "partial 16S ribosomal RNA". It matches the Rfam family "Bacterial small subunit ribosomal RNA", at positions 28 to 507 of the family's 1533-position model. The record is from RNAcentral.
GAUGAACGCUGGCGGCGUGCCUAAUACAUGCAAGUCGAGCGAACAGACGAGGAGCUUGCUCCUCUGACGUUAGCGGCGGACGGGUGAGUAACACGUGGAUAACCUACCUAUAAGUCUGGGAUAACUUCGGGAAACCGGAGCUAAUACCGGAUAAUAUAUUGAACCGCAUGGUUCAAUAGUGAAAGACGGUUUUGCUGUCACUUAUAGAUGGAUCCGCGCCGCAUUAGCUAGUUGGUAAGGUAACGGCUUACCAAGGCAACGAUGCGUAGCCGACCUGAGAGGGUGAUCGGCCACACUGGAACUGAGACACGGUCCAGACUCCUACGGGAGGCAGCAGUAGGGAAUCUUCCGCAAUGGGCGAAAGCCUGACGGAGCAACGCCGCGUGAGUGAUGAAGGUCUUCGGAUCGUAAAACUCUGUUAUUAGGGAAGAACAAAUGUGUAAGUAACUAUGCACGUCUUGACGGUACCUAACCAGAAAGCCACGGCUAACUACGUG